CAACUGCGCGUCGACAUGUGAACUGCAGGACACAUGAACAUCGACGUUUCGAACGCACAUUGCGGUCCUUGGAUUAAGUUCCCGGACCACACCUGGCUGAGGGUCGGUCGUUUGAUGGCUAGCACGGCCGUGUUUGUGCAAGUGGCGAACCAGGCUGCGUGGCGGCCGGGCGAGUCUGAACGCACGAGGAACCAAAAGGCCGCCGUGCGGUCGGUGGACUCGCGACAGGUAUCGAUCGUGAUGGCCUGACGCUGUCCUCUCGACGGCGGGCUGGGAACCGUGCCUUCGGUUUUGUAACAAUCGACCUCAGAUCAGGUGAGAUCACCCGCCAAAUUUAA
This 338-nucleotide unclassified non-coding RNA is filed under the name uncultured fungus. RNAcentral's name for it is "sequence contains ITS1". The stretch from base 1 to 106 matches the Rfam family "5.8S ribosomal RNA", at positions 50 to 154 of the family's 154-position model. Lineage: Eukaryota; Fungi. The record is from RNAcentral.